ACCGCCAGUCGCCAUUGCUCACUGCUCUGCUCAGCGCUCCAUGUCGUGCCCCAAAUUCCGUGACUCAUCUUCCUUCUCUUUGCCAGGCUGCGCGUGCAUACCACGGACGGACGCACUGCCCCCAAUCUACUGGUUUUGCUGUUCGGAGUUGGCACUCGUUUUUCAUUUUCAAUAUCCGCUUGUUAUAUUGUAAACUUGUGAUCAACUUGUUAUAUUGUGAACUUGUGAUAUGUGAGAUUAAUUUUUUAUAUUGUGAACUUGUGAUCUAUG
Molecule: long non-coding RNA, 270 nt
Filed under: Zea mays
Lineage: Eukaryota; Viridiplantae; Streptophyta; Magnoliopsida; Poales; Poaceae
Description: uncharacterized LOC103653916, transcript variant 2 (LOC103653916)
Source: RNAcentral